GGGGAUAUGGCGAAAUUGGUAGACGCUACGGACUUAAAAUCCGUCGACUUUAAAAAUCAUGAGGGUUCAAGUCCCUCUAUCC
This 82-nucleotide transfer RNA is filed under the name Bridelia tomentosa. RNAcentral's name for it is "tRNA-Leu". It matches the Rfam family "tRNA". Rfam says of the family: Transfer RNA (tRNA) molecules are approximately 80 nucleotides in length. Their secondary structure includes four short double-helical elements and three loops (D, anti-codon, and T loops). The record is from RNAcentral. Lineage: Eukaryota; Viridiplantae; Streptophyta; Magnoliopsida; Malpighiales; Phyllanthaceae.